Molecule: transfer RNA, 77 nt
Filed under: Anaerolineaceae bacterium
Lineage: Bacteria; Bacillati; Chloroflexota; Anaerolineae; Anaerolineales; Anaerolineaceae
Description: tRNA-Pro
Rfam family: tRNA
About the family: Transfer RNA (tRNA) molecules are approximately 80 nucleotides in length. Their secondary structure includes four short double-helical elements and three loops (D, anti-codon, and T loops).
Source: RNAcentral
CGGGGUAUGGCGCAGCCCGGUAGCGCGCUUGCAUGGGGUGCAAGAGGUCCUCGGUUCGAAUCCGAGUACCCCGACCA